GAUGAACGCUAGCGACAGGCUUAACACAUGCAAGUCGAGGGGCAGCGGGGGCGUAGCAAUACGCCUGCCGGCGACCGGCGCACGGGUGAGUAACACGUAUGCAACCUGCCCGUCACAGGGGGAUAAGCGGAAGAAAUUCCGUCUAAUACCGCGUAGCACCUGCGGAGGGCAUCCUCUGCAGGUUAAAGAAUUUCGGUGACGGAUGGGCAUGCGGCGCAGUAGCUAGUUGGCGGGGUAACGGCCCACCAAGGCGACGAUGCGUAGGGGUUCUGGGAGGAAGGUCCCCCACGCUGGUACUGAGACACGGACCAGACUCCUACGGGAGGCAGCAGGGAGGAAUAUUGGUCAAUGGGCGCGAGCCUGAACCAGCCAAGUCGCGUGAGGGAAGACGGCCCUACGGGUUGUAAACCUCUUUUGUCGGGAGCAAAUGCGCCACGUGUGGCGCUGCGAGAGUACCCGAAGAAAAAGCAUCGGCUAACUCCGUGCCAGCAGCCGCCGUAA
Molecule: ribosomal RNA, 501 nt
Filed under: uncultured bacterium
Lineage: Bacteria
Description: partial 16S ribosomal RNA
Rfam family: Bacterial small subunit ribosomal RNA
Source: RNAcentral